UCCUUUUUAGUAUAGUGGUCAGUAUCUCUGCCUGUCACGUGGGACACCUGGGUUGGAUUCCCUGAUGGGGAA
RNAcentral lists this transfer RNA (72 nucleotides) under Ovis aries (sheep). It matches the Rfam family "tRNA". From Rfam's summary of the family: Transfer RNA (tRNA) molecules are approximately 80 nucleotides in length. Their secondary structure includes four short double-helical elements and three loops (D, anti-codon, and T loops). The record is from Rfam by way of RNAcentral. Lineage: Eukaryota; Metazoa; Chordata; Mammalia; Artiodactyla; Bovidae.